AAAUGAAUAGACGGGGACCCGCACAAGCGGUGGAGCAUGUGGUUUAAUUCGACGAUACGCGAAGAACCUUACCUGGCCUUGACAUACUAAAAAGCUUUAAGAGAUUAGAGUGUGCUAGCUUGCUAGAAUUUAGAUACAGGUGCUGCACGGCUGUCGUCAGCUCGUGUCGUGAGAUGUUGGGUUAAGUCCCGCAACGAGCGCAACCCUCGUGUUUAGUUGCUAACAGUUCGGCUGAGAACUCUAAACAGACUGCCUACGCAAGUAGGAGGAAGGUGAGGACGACGUCAAGUCAUCAUGGCCCUUACGGCCAGGGCUACACACGUGCUACAAUGGGGUAUACAAAGAGCAGCGAUACGGUGACGUGGAGCAAAUCUAGAAAAUGCCUCUCAGUUCGGAUUGUAGUCUGCAACUCGACUACAUGAAGUUGGAAUCGCUAGUAAUCGUAGAUCAGCAAUGCUACGGUGAAUACGUUCCCGGGUCUUGUACACACCGCCCGU
Molecule: ribosomal RNA, 497 nt
Filed under: uncultured bacterium
Lineage: Bacteria
Description: bacterial SSU rRNA
Rfam family: Bacterial small subunit ribosomal RNA
Source: RNAcentral